CGCAGGCGGUCAAUUAAGUCUGAUGUUUAAGCCCGGGGCUCAACCCCGGUUCGCAUCGGAAACUGGUUGACUUGAGUGUAGGAGAGGAAAGUGGAAUUCCACGUGUAGCGGUGAAAUGCGUAGAGAUGUGGAGGAACACCAGUGGCGAAGGCGACUUUCUGGCCUAUAACUGACGCUGAGGCGCGAAAGCGUGGGGAGCAAACA
Molecule: ribosomal RNA, 204 nt
Filed under: uncultured bacterium
Lineage: Bacteria
Description: partial 16S ribosomal RNA
Rfam family: Bacterial small subunit ribosomal RNA
Source: RNAcentral